UGGGGAAUAUUGCACAAUGGAGGGAACUCUGAUGCAGCAACGCCGCGUGCGGGAUGACGGCCUUCGGGUUGUAAACCGCUUUCAGCCAUGACGAAGCUUUUGUGACGGUAGUGGUAGAAGAAGCACCGGCUAACUACGUGCCAGCAGCCGCGGUGAUACGUAGGGUGCGAGCGUUGUCCGGAAUUAUUGGGCGUAAAGAGCUUGUAGGCGGUUUGUCGCGUCGAUAGUGUAAACACGCAGCUUAACUGUGUGCCUGCUGUAGAUACGGGCUGACUAGAGGAGGGUAGGGGAGAAUGGAAUUCCCGGUGGAGCGGUAGAAUGCGCAGAUAUCGGGAGGAACACCAGUGGCGAAGGCGGUUCUCUGGACCUUUCCUGACGCUGAGAAGCGAAAGCGUGGGUAGCAAACAGG
Molecule: ribosomal RNA, 409 nt
Filed under: Fusobacteriota bacterium
Lineage: Bacteria; Fusobacteriati; Fusobacteriota
Description: Fusobacteria bacterium partial 16S ribosomal RNA
Rfam family: Bacterial small subunit ribosomal RNA
Source: RNAcentral